CCUCUCUCUUUUGACUAGGUUGAAGUUGUGUUUUCAUGUCUGAAUUAUUCUUCGAACCUCAUUUAGUUGAUUGUGGACGGGCGCUUAAACAAGCUCAAAAUGUUGAAACGUCGUGGCAAGGGGCCACCAAAGAAGGGCCAAGGAAAGCGUGCUAAAAAGAGUGGCAAAUAGAGCAUAACUAUGGUCUUCAACUACAUUACUGUCAUAUUUGGUAGAGAAGAUUGGAUAGUAUCAGACGCUUUUACUGAGGCUUUUCCAAUGAACUUUUGGAUUUUUAGGUAUAGUUUUUGAUUGUAAACUGUCAUGUUUGAUAGUGAAGGUUGG
RNAcentral lists this long non-coding RNA (324 nucleotides) under Olea europaea subsp. europaea. Lineage: Eukaryota; Viridiplantae; Streptophyta; Magnoliopsida; Lamiales; Oleaceae. The record is from RNAcentral.